AUCUGGUAAUGGCUAUAAUGUAAAAUACAGAAUCCCACAGGAAAGAUUGGGUGUUUAACUUGCAGCCUUAGUAAAAUACAACUGGGGUAACCAUAUCUAACCCACUCUUAAUACAUUUUACAUGGGCGUGAGUAGCUAGCUCAUUACAUACUGCGGUUAGCUUGCUGCAAUGUUUGGGCUCCCUAGUGGCUGUUUAAGGUACUAUCUACAUCGAUGCUAGGGGCGUCACUACACACCCAUGAUCGGUUAUAGGCUGUAUCUCAACUGGCCGUUAUUGGGAGUCCAUAGAGCGGCGCACAAUUAGCCCAGCGUCGUUAGGGUUUGACCGAGUAGGCCGUCAUUGUAAAAAAAUUUAAAGAUAAACUUCCCUGGUUAAAAAACAAAUUGAGCAAUAAAGAUUAUGCACGUGCCAUAAAUAGCGAGCUAGUUUAGCUAAUCACUCAGGACAGCAGAUCACAGGACAUUUGUUUACUCGAUGAGCGUUUUACUUAACGCUAGAACCGAAAUUACUUGACAAUCGUGUAGAACAGACCCAUUAUUAGGCUGACAAUGCAGGGUAGAAUUUAGCCCAUGGGUGGCACUAACUGCCGGCCAAAGUGUUCUGAGCCCCCCCCAAGAAGUCUAUACAUUUUUCUUGGACAAAAUAUUUAAACACCAGGAAAUAUCACCUCCCAAGUUUUUAUUGCAAAAUUCUGUUCAAGUAUUCCCAUGCGUUGGAGGUACCUGAUCGUAUACAAAUGAAAGCAAGAUUUGAAUGAUUAUUUUAGUCACAUCUGUUAGGGCUUCUUGCGGUCAAUUUGCAGUCUACAAAUUAUAUGUAAUUAUAUUUCGCCCGUUUUCUAUUUAGAUUUUAUAUUCACCAGGAUAGUGAUACGGGGGGUUCAGGCAGCCCAACAAAUUAUCCGGUGAAACAAUUCAGUUUACGCUGUGCUAUGGUUUUUGGUUCGUUAACGUCACGUUUAAUUUUUCUCAAUUGCGCUGGCAUUCUACACAUGGUGUAUAAAAAAAUAUUUGGGGGGUUGGGCAUGCUCGACAUGGCCUUCCAGGAUGCAAUCAAAGGGCUCUCACUCCUGACACAAUGCCAGUUUUUCCUCAGACUAAGGGUCACUGUCUGGAGCAGUGGGAAGACUGGCGAUGAUCGGUGGAGGAUCCUCUGAGUUGGCCCGCAUCAUUAGGACUAAAGCCGGAAGCAAGAGGGGUGAAUGCAGGAGAUGAAGAGGAAGGUCCAAGAAAACAUGACCGAGAACAUUGGAGACUGAGCACCAACAACAACUAGCAUAAUGGGUGAGUGAUUCAAUGUAGAGUGCUGCGGGUCCUGACCGAUCAUUGCGGUGCGGUCAGCAUCUUUAACGCUGCGGGUCCCAUAGAUUAUUUGGAAAUGGUCGUCUUUCUGCUUUGUACGCGUUAGCCUAGUACUACAUGUAUUGGACCGUGGUUAGGUUUGGGACCUCUAAUUAAAUGCAAGACUCAUGAUUACCCUACAUUAACAAACAUGAUAUUACAUUACAACUUACCUCUAAACUGUCCUGAUUAAGUUUGGCUGUGCACAGACAUUUUAAAGCAUUUUCCUCUGCUUCAUUCGUUAUUUUUAGGACACUCGGUAGGGUUAUUUUGAAGUCUUGCUGGCAUGGUAGAGUAGUUCCUAACCUAAAAAUACAUUGGUUUAUAUUUUGGUUGUACCUUAAGGUUGCUGGUACCUUAAUUGGAGAGGACUGACUCGUGGUAAUGGUUGGAGUGAAAUGGUAUCAAAUACAUUAAACACAUAGUUUCUAUGUGUUCAAUGCCAUUCCAUUGGUUCCGUUCCAGCCAUUAUUUUGAGCCAUCCUCCCCUAAGCAGCCUCCACUGGUGAAUAUAGUGUGUUUAGUGGUCAGAAUGGGAGUCCAAAUAGUCCUGCAUAACAGGAGAAAUAUCUUGGUUUCUGCAAAGCGUGUCAGUGAGUGGGUCCUAGUCUAGUUUGAGGUGGAAGAAGCAUGUCUUAUUUAAUAUAUUUGUUUUAAAUCAACUUACAUUUCCAUGUUUCAAUCCAUUGUAUUGCUUCCCGAAGGAAAUCCAGCUUGAAGCUGUUCUCUUGUCUGAGAGCCCUCCAUGGAUUUCUAUCCCAGCAAGAUCUAGAAGGAAAAAGCAUGUGUUGGUCUGAUAGUGAUUUCUAUGUGAAAGGUUUUAAACUGUGUAAUACACCCUGUACUGAUUGCAUUUACAUUUGAUUGAACAUACCUUGACUUCAGAAUGUCAAACAGCUUGUUCAUUUUUUUCAGUAACUGGGCUGUGCAGUCCACCUCCGUAGGCAGUUAGCCUAGCUGCAUCGUAGUUUGCAUCCCUUAAGUAAAGUAUUCAUUAGUACUACUACAUCAUGUUUUAUGAUGUAGCUUCUUUUCAUGCCAACAUUUAUUAAUAUUUGUAUAGUUUAUGUGGCGCAGCGGUCACUGCAUCUCAGUGCAAUAGUUGUCACUACAGUCCCUGGUUUGAAUCCAGGCUGAAUCGCAUCCGGCCGUGAUUGGAAGUCCCAAAAGGCGGCGUGCACAAUUGGCCCAGCGUCGUCCGGGUUUGGCUGGGGUAGGCCGUCAUUGUAAAUAAGAAUUUGUUCUUAACUGACUUGCCUAGUUUUAUUUAUAUAUAUAUAUAUAUACAGUGCCUUGCGAAAGUAUUCGGCCCCCUUGAACUUUGCGACCUUUUGCCACAUUUCAGGCUUCAAACAUAAAGAUAUAAAACUGUAUUUUUUUUGUGAAGAAUCAACAACAAGUGGGACACAAUCAUGAAGUGGAACGACAUCUAUUGGAUAUUUCAAACUUUUUUAACAAAUCAAAAACUGAAAAAUUGGGCGUGCAAAAUUAUUCAGCCCCCUUAAGUUGAUACUUUGUAGCGCCACCUUUUGCUGCGAUUACAGCUGUAAGUCGCUUGGGGUAUGUCUCUAUCAGUUUUGCACAUCGAGAGACUGACAUUUUUUCCCAUUCCUCCUUGCAAAACAGCUCGAGCUCAGUGAGGUUGGAUGGAGAGCAUUUGUGAACAGCAGUUUUCAGUUCUUUCCACAGAUUCUCGAUUGGAUUCAGGUCUGGACUUUGACUUGGCCAUUCUAACACCUGGAUAUGUUUAUUUUUGAACCAUUCCAUUGUAGAUUUUGCUUUAUGUUUUGGAUCAUUGUCUUGUUGGAAGACAAAUCUCCAUCCCAGUCUCAGGUCUUUCGCAGACUCCAUCAGGUUUUCUUCCAGAAUGGUCCUGUAUUUGGCUCCAUCCAUCUUCCCAUCAAUUUUAACCAUCUUCCCUGUCCCUGCUGAAGAAAAGCAGGCCCAAACCAUGAUGCUGCCACCACCAUAUUUGACAGUGGGGAUAUGUGUUCAGGGUGAUGAGCUGUGUUGCUUUUACGCCAAACAUAACGUUUUGCAUUGUUGCCAAAAAGUUCAAUUUUGGUUUCAUCUGACCAGAGCACCUUCUUCCACAUGUUUGGUGUGUCUCCCAGGUGGCUUGUGGCAAACUUUAAACGACACUUUUUAUGGAUAUCUUUAAGAAAUGGCUUUCUUCUUGCCACUCUUCCAUAAAGGCCAGAUUUGUGCAAUAUACGACUGAUUGUUGUCCUAUGGACAGAGUCUCCCACCUCAGCUGUAGAUCUCUGCAGUUCAUCCAGAGUGAUCAUGGGCCUCUUGGCUGCAUCUCUGAUCUGUCUUCUCCUUGUAUGAGCUGAAAGUUUAGAAGGACGGCCAGUUCUUGGUAGAUUUGCAGUGGUCUGAUACUCCUUCCAUUUCAAUAUUAUCGCUUGCACAGUGCUCCUUGGGAUGUUUAAAGCUUGGGAAAUCUUUUUGUAUCCAAAUCCGGCUUUAAACUUCUUCACAACAGUAUCUCGGACCUGCCUGGUGUGUUCCUUGUUCUUCAUGAUGCUCUCUGCGCUUUUAACGGACCUCUGAGACUAUCACAGUGCAGGUGCAUUUAUACUGAGACUUGAUUACACACAGGUGGAUUGUAUUUAUCAUCAUUAGUCAUUUAGGUCAACAUUGGAUCAUUCAGAGAUCCUCACUGAACUUCUGGAGAGAGUUUGCUGCACUGAAAGUAAAGGGGCUGAAUAAUUUUGCACGCCCAAUUUUUCAGUUUUUGAUUUGUUAAAAAAGUUUAUAUAUAUAUAUAAAUAAAUAAAAUUAAGUACAGUAUUUUCAAGCAAUAACAGGUUAGUGUAGUGUCUUCAUUGUAAAAAGUGUAUGAAUUUGUAAAUUAUUGUAGAUAUUUAUGUUGCUGUACUUCUUCACCUGUAGAGACUGUGGCUAAACACCUGUGUUGUCAGCUUCACUCGCAUGUUUGUGAAGGGUGGCAGAUUGUGUUUGUCCGUCAGCUUUGGUGACUUCCUGAUUGUGUGCCAUCUUGUAAAACAACACCAGAUGGUCCCAAAUUAUUUAAUCAUCUCUGAUCUGGUGAGUUAAAAGGGAAUGACAGUCAAUUUUUAUUGUUAAAGAAUUAUAUUUUAUAUUUUCCAUUUAAUAAUCUUUGAAUCUACCUUUAUCCCAUGACACUUGAAGUUGUUCUGCACUGAUUUUAACAAGUUUUGAACAUCAAAGAUGAUGGGGAGUUUGUGGUCUUCAACUGUGAUGCAGUGCGCACCGUCUGUGUGUUCCUCAGCAUUUAGACUUGCCCCAAGGAGUUUCAUAGACUUCAUAUUACAGGGUGACUGGUCACACACAACAUUGAUGACCUGUCGCAUUUAAAGUAAUUACUGUAAAUUCCAAAUAUAUAGGAGGGAUGAAACUGGACUAUUGUGUAUAGACAUUGUUACUUAGUCAGUCCUAUGCUUUUUAGUCUCUUUAUUGCCUCCGCCACAAUAUCAGCAGUCUCUUGGGCUGGCGUUGCCGAUUUAGCCAGGAAAUAGCCAAAUGCCUGCGUGGGAGAUGUCAACAAGGCAGGGGUAAGUAAAUGAAGUGUCUUGAGAGUGGAAUUUUAGGAAUGUUUAAACUGUAGUCAUGUAUUGUCUGACAGCUCAGUCACAUAAUUACCUGUUUCCAUUUCGAAGUGACACUCCUAACCAUAACAACCAUUGCCUGAUUGGCAACAUCUCACUUGAUGGUUAAGCUGUCAAUGACGUCAAUCACAGAGAACCUCCGCCCUUUCUUAUUUCUCUGCACACUGCACUGUAGUUUGAAGAAGUCCUUUUAGAUGUGGAGGUAGCGACUCCAUGGCCUCCAACAUUGGAUCCUGUUUUGUUCUACAAAUUUAUAAAUUUGAUAAAUGCAUGAUGAAAUCACCCUAAUUGUAUAACCAAUCCUAAUGCUGUCUAUUAGAAGUCAACAUAUGUGUUAUUCCAGUCUAUAAGACGACGGUAUACUUGGUUUUGAUGGCUUUUAGUCUUGCGGAUUUUGACACUUUAUUUUCCAGGAGCCGUAUUCUCUUAAAAACGAAACAUCUGUUUUGUUAUUUUUGUUUCAAUGUGUGAACAAUUAAUCACUGUGGGUGUAUUAUUAUUAUUAUUAUUAUUAUUAUUAUACUUUAGACUUCCUUCAAUUGGAUGAUGGCCUCCUCCUGCAUGACAUCUGUUACAUGCUGCUUGCUUUGACACCUGAGCUUCCUGUAUGCUCAUAAGGACGCCUUCUUCUGUCACCUGAGCCGCCUCCUGUAUGCUUGUGAGGAUGCCUCCUGCCACCUCUGUCACCUAACAGACCACCUCCUGCAGACCACCUGAACUAAAUUCAGCAUCUGCUGCUUCCUCUGCUGGAGCUGGGUCUACGCUCGCCUUCACUCUCUUGUUCUCUCGGUCUGUCUCACCUAAAACUCCUACAUCUGCUUCCCUGUCCUCUCCUUCAAAAAUAGAACUUUCAAGACUUUAAACCUGUUGUAUUAAUAUAAAACAAUAAUGAUGCAUCUUUAAUCGCUACGUAUUUUGUAGUUGGUUCACUUCUAUUUCUACAACGCUGUGCAUCUGUGGCAGAUUGAGGGGGUGGAUUCAUGCCAUUUAUUCUGGUAGGUACUGCCUCGGAGGACAGCGUCUUCUGUGAACUGCCUUCUGCCUCGGAGGACAGCGUCUUCUGUGAACUGCCUUCUGCCUUGGGAGGACAGCGUCUUCUGUGAACCCUGUUGAAAGAGACAUUUUUACCAGAAAAGGAUUUACUGAAAUUUAUUUUUAUUGACAAAGUUAGUAGCUGUACCUUAAUCAGAAUAAAACUCUUCAAAGUGCACCUCU
Long non-coding RNA from Oncorhynchus nerka (sockeye salmon), 6152 nucleotides. RefSeq lists it as uncharacterized. The record is from RefSeq and is a predicted model, not a curated record. NCBI's taxonomy places the organism in Eukaryota, Metazoa, Chordata, Actinopteri, Salmoniformes, Salmonidae. The transcript has 3 exons.